CAGGACAGCAUGGACUCCAAAGUGGGGAGGGCCUGGGAGAAGGCCACAAACUUGGGGAGAGGGAGAGCAAGGAGCAAAGAGGUGGAGGCUGGUCUAGAUGGAGUGGGGAAGUCAGAGUGGGCGACCAGGGACAAAAUAUAUCAGUAUCCUUUAUGGCCAUUUUUCCUUUUGCAGGGGCAAGGGGAAUAUCUCCUGGUUGUCCUGAUUGCUGAGGCCCGGGCAUGCCUCCCGCCCUCUGCCUGGCGCGGUGGGCAUGUAGUGUCCAGCCUCGGUGCCAUCAGCUGUGGGCAGCAAGCAGACUAUACCAUCUCCUGGGGUGGUAGGUGGGAGCGGUGGACUCUUGUGAUCCAGGGUUGUACCUGCCAGCAGAAUGAGGACACCCGGGUCAGCAGCCUCAGUAUGCCCGAGGGUCAGCGCGAACAAUCCUCGCUCUAUUUAGUAAAGCACUGCACGACUGGAUCACACAGGUUGCUAUGUGUUCAGAGCACUGCAGAGGGAAGAACCCACAGGGAAACCAGUUAGGAAAGCCGUGGCGACAGUCCCAGUGGGAUCUGAGCGGGCUGGAGCGCAGCAGCAGAGAUGGAGGAACCGGAACACUCACCGGAGAGGCAAGCCUCGGACGGGGGCGGGGCCGGGGCUCGAGCUGAUAAAGUAAUUCAGCCCCUGACGCCGGCGGGCGAGGGAGGAGGCGGUGCGUCGGCUCGGGCCUCCCCCGCAGCUA
RNAcentral lists this long non-coding RNA (721 nucleotides) under Fukomys damarensis (Damara mole-rat). RNAcentral's name for it is "lncRNA (ENSFDAG00000030095.1)". Lineage: Eukaryota; Metazoa; Chordata; Mammalia; Rodentia; Bathyergidae. The record is from RNAcentral.